AUGAGAAUCUUAAUGGAACAUCAUCACUCGAUCAAAGUCAAUUAAAUCAAACACUCAACGUCGAUAGACAAUCUUAUUAGGGUUUUUUUCCAAUUUCAACUGAACAGAUUAUCGUCACAAAUUUGUUUGAUUACAAGAAACCCCAUUUCCCGACUGGAAUUGGGAACUCAAAGUUUGGUUUCGUCCCCAACUUCAUUCUCCAUCAAACCUAAAUUCAAUGGAUUAAACAAUUCUUCCCAAAUCAAAGUUCUUCAGUGGUUGAAUCGUGUAUGUAUAUCAUGUAAAGAGAUGGGUUUGGAAAAAAAAUUGUGUCAAUGAAAAUUUUCGCGUUUUUACAACGAAGCGGCAGGCCCAUCCGUGCUUCUGGACUAGAAUACAUGCUGCUAGAGUCGUUUCCAGAGUUGCAGCUUAAAAUCUUUCUUGCUUGUUUCCACGAAUUGGUGUAGCUGUAAUGCACUAUUACAUUAUGGGGUAUCCUUACAGUUGACAGUCUCAAAGUUGGUAUUUUCUAAGUUGGCCUUUUAUUGCAAUGGUGCAUACGUUGUUUAUCGUUACCGGUUCAUUUCAUGUUUAUCUGAGUUGGGUUCAUUUUAUUGGAUAUCAUGUUUCACCUUUAUGGAAAUUA
Papaver somniferum (opium poppy) is the source of this 625-nucleotide long non-coding RNA. RefSeq lists it as uncharacterized. The transcript is spliced from 3 exons. Lineage: Eukaryota; Viridiplantae; Streptophyta; Magnoliopsida; Ranunculales; Papaveraceae. The record is from RefSeq and is a predicted model, not a curated record.